AGUCGAGAAUCUUCGGCAAUGGGCGAAAGCCUGACCGAGCGAUGCCGCGUGCGGGAUGAAGGCCCUCGGGUUGUAAACCGCUGUCGUAGAGGAGAAAGGUCUGAUGAAGAAUCAGAUUUGAUCUAUUCUAGGAGGAAGUCGGGGCUAAGUUCGUGCCAGCAGCCGCGGUAACACGAACCCGACGAACGUUAUUCGGAAUUAUUGGGCUUAAAGGGUGCGUAGGCGGUGCGGUAAGUGCGGUGUGAAAGCCCUCGGCUCAACCGAGGAAUUGCGCUGCAUACUGCCGUGCUGGAGGGAGACAGAGGUAAGCGGAACUGAUGGUGGAGCGGUGAAAUGCGUUGAUAUCAUCAGGAACACCGGUGGCGAAAGCGGCUUACUGGGUCUCUUCUGACGCUGAGGCACGAAAGCUAGGGUAGCGAA
RNAcentral lists this ribosomal RNA (420 nucleotides) under uncultured Planctomycetaceae bacterium. RNAcentral describes it as "bacterial SSU rRNA". It matches the Rfam family "Bacterial small subunit ribosomal RNA", at positions 353 to 772 of the family's 1533-position model. Lineage: Bacteria; Pseudomonadati; Planctomycetota; Planctomycetia; Planctomycetales; Planctomycetaceae. The record is from RNAcentral.